This is a non-coding RNA of Phalacrocorax carbo (great cormorant), 2012 nucleotides long. The record is from RefSeq and is a predicted model, not a curated record. NCBI's taxonomy places the organism in Eukaryota, Metazoa, Chordata, Aves, Suliformes, Phalacrocoracidae.
UUUUUUAAAAUAGGGUUUUAUCAUUGAUUUUAGAGGGAAGUAGACUAAAAGAUAGCUGAGACUCCUACUUGGGAACAAGAGAGGUACAAACCGGGACCUGUGGCUCCUGUGUGGAAAUGCACGUUGGUAUACGGCGAGGGAUCCCGCUAUCUCUGAUCCACUUACCUGCAGGCAGCCGGCAUGCCUCACUGAUGCUGACACCAUAAGUACAACCCUGGCGGGGCAUCCUUCGCUAUCAGGCAGCAGUUGGAGCUCCUCACCUGUCGCCCCGAGGGCGGCUUGUGCUGGGUUUCUCCAACUGUCCCCAUAAGCUGGCCCAGGGUGAGAUAGUGUCCUUAGAAACCUGGAUGUUUUGCUGACUGAGGGGCCAAUCUUGCUUUCAAAUCUGCCUCAUACCUCUCCUCAGGCUUGAAAAACUUCUGAUGCAUGAGAGCACCUCAAAGUUUCUCUGAAGUCUGAGUGGCUGUUUUCAAGAGGAAAAUUGCCAGAGCAUGUAACGGCCAUCUCUGGCAUGAAACUGCAGCGAAAAAUACAACUUAUCUGUGCUAGUGACACAAAAGUAUGUGGCAGCUCCCCCAGGUUUUGUCUAAGCCACUACUGGUUUGGCAGGGGUGUUUUUGUUUGCUUGGGGGGUUUUGUUUGGGUUUUUUUGUCUGUUUUUGUGGUUCCUUAGGAGUAUGGAUUGUAUCCUGAGGGGUGCUGGAGAGCCCCAGAGCUUGGAGCUGCAGCUGGGGACAACCAUUACUUUUACAUGAUGUCUGCUAUAUCAGGGUGUGAGCACCUCUGGAGAAAGGCUGGCAUCUUGAGGAGGGGAAAAUGGGGCUGUUGCGUGAGACUUGGUGUCUUUGACUUAUCUGAGUCACCAUCACAAACAGCUGAAGGAAAUAGGCUGGUUGAUGUAUGUGCUAUUGCUAAAUAGCAUUCAAAAUGUGAAAUCUGUCUGCUUUUCCCGGGUGUGGGGGGAGGGGGGAAGAAUCUGUUUUCAUCUUUCUUCUCUAUCCUGCCAUAAUUAUUUUUUUUUUCAAAAAAGCACAAACCAAACCAAACCAACCACAACAACACAGCCCCCACCCCAUAAUAAAAGAAAACUUCUGGGAACUUAAUUAUCUUUUAAUACCCCUUUGCCAAGCUGGAUUGAAAUCAGUCAAGUCCAAAAGCUAUUUAAAGUGGAGGGAUAGACUGAGAGUUUAAUUGCAUUGUAGGGUCAUAGGACAAUUCAGGUUGGAAGGGGCUUUGAUAGAUCAUCCACUCCAACCUAUUAAUGGAAGCAGGGUCAGCUAUUUUAGCUUAUGAAACCGGGCUGUAAAAAAAAACACGAAGCAAAAAUACCCCUGUUGACUCCAAGUCCUGCAGUGAUCACUGAAGACCAGAGCGUAGCUCUAUGUGUGUGUGUGUAUGCGCGUGUGUGUUUUCCACAAGCUGUGGUUUCCACAGAGUAACAGGCCUCUUCCUCUGGGCUUUUGUUACCAGCUGUGCUGUUGUCUCCUGACCUCUGUCUUUGGAGCAGAGAGGGGUGGGUUGCGAAUGGUCUUGAGGCCCUGGCCUGGCCUCACUCUCAGCUAGCCAGCAAAGCCAUGGUGGGAUCACACAGGCUGGCAUUUCGAGGGGUAACAGAACACGCUUUCCUGAAACGCUUGCUGUAAUGGGUAAAAUCAAGAGCCUCUCCUGGCAGAGCAGCACCAUCCGUAGGGAAAGUGAGUUGCUGCAAAAAAGCUAAGCCCUGGCCCUUCAGUGCCACUCAAAAUCUCAGGAAAACUGAAAGGGAUUUUUCUGGAAUAAGUACAAAGAGGACAAUAGAGAAAAAGAUUGACAAAAUUAUUUUUUUUUUAAAAUGUGUGGAGAUCAAGGUGGCUUCUAAUAAUCUGUCUUGCUUUUUCUUUAAAAGAAAGCAAUCCUUUUAACAUUUUCCUAUGGCACACUGCAUCCAAACACAACAGCGACAAGCUGGUUCAUGGGAACCGGAAACUGAGACAGGCUAGAAAACAACAUCCUUGGGGGGGGGGGGGAAAGAA